This 69-nucleotide transfer RNA is filed under the name Marmota monax (woodchuck). It matches the Rfam family "tRNA". Rfam says of the family: Transfer RNA (tRNA) molecules are approximately 80 nucleotides in length. Their secondary structure includes four short double-helical elements and three loops (D, anti-codon, and T loops). Further hydrogen bonds mediate the characteristic L-shaped molecular structure. tRNAs have two regions of fundamental functional importance: the anti-codon, which is responsible for specific mRNA codon recognition, and the 3' end, to which the tRNAs corresponding amino acid is attached (by aminoacyl-tRNA synthetases). tRNAs cope with the degeneracy of the genetic code in two manners: having more than one tRNA (with a specific anti-codon) for a particular amino acid; and 'wobble' base-pairing, i.e. permitting non-standard base-pairing at the 3rd anti-codon position. RNAcentral also lists the same sequence under 1 other name. Lineage: Eukaryota; Metazoa; Chordata; Mammalia; Rodentia; Sciuridae. The record is from Rfam by way of RNAcentral.
GGGGUUAUGGCUCAGUGGUAGAGUGCUUGCCUAGCACACAUGAGGCACUGGGUUCGAUUCUCAGCACCA